CCAAUAGCGUAUAUUAAAGUUGUUGCAGUUAAAAAGCUCGUAGUUGAAUUUCGGGGUUAGUAGGUUGGUCAUGCCUCUGGUAUGUACUGGUCUCACUGAUUCCUCCUUCCUGAUGAACCGUAAUGCCAUUAAUUUGGUGUUGCGGGGAAUUUGGACUGUUACUUUGAAAAAAUUAGAGUGUUUAAAGCAAGCUAACGCUUGAAUACACUAGCCUGGAAUAAUGAACUAGGACGUUCGAUCCUAUUUUGUUGGUUUCUAGGAUUGACGUAAUGAUUAAUAGGGAUAGUUGGGGGCAUUAGUAUUCAAUUGUAAGAGGUGAAAUUCUUGGAUUUAUUGAAGACUAACUACUGCGAAAGCAUUUGCCAAGGAUGUUUUCAUUAAUCAAGAACGAAAGUUAGGGGAUCGAAGACGAUCAGAUACCGUCGUAGUCUUAACCAUAAACUAUGCCGACUAGGGAUCGGAUGAUGUUAAUUUUUUAAUGACUCAUUCGGCGCCUUACG
This 500-nucleotide unclassified non-coding RNA is filed under the name uncultured Glomus. RNAcentral's name for it is "SSU rRNA". It matches the Rfam family "Eukaryotic small subunit ribosomal RNA", at positions 591 to 1092 of the family's 1831-position model. The record is from RNAcentral. Lineage: Eukaryota; Fungi; Glomeromycota; Glomeromycetes; Glomerales; Glomeraceae.